UGCAGUCGACGGUGAAGGAGAGCUUGCUCUCUGGAUCAGUGGCGAACGGGUGAGUAACACGUGAGCAAUCUGCCCCUGACUCUGGGAUAACAGUUGGAAACAGCUGCUAAUACCGGAUAUGAGCUGCGACCGCAUGGUCGGCAGUUGGAAAGAAUUUCGGUCAGGGAUGAGCUCGCGGCCUAUCAGCUUGUUGGUGAGGUAAUGGCUCACCAAGGCGUCGACGGGUAGCCGGCCUGAGAGGGUGACCGGCCACACUGGGACUGAGACACGGCCCAGACUCCUACGGGAGGCAGCAGUGGGGAAUAUUGCACAAUGGGCGCAAGCCUGAUGCAGCAACGCCGCGUGAGGGACGACGGCCUUCGGGUUGUAAACCUCUUUUAGCAGGGAAGAAGCGAAAGUGACGGUACCUGCAGAAAAAGCACCGGCUAACUACGUGCCAGCAGCCGCGGUAAUACGUAGGGUGCAAGCGUUAUCCGGAAUUAUUGGGCGUAAAGAGCUCGUAGGCGGUUUGUCGCGUCUGCUGUGAAACCCCGAGGCUCAACCUCGGGCCUGCAGUGGGUACGGGCAGACUAGAGUGCGGUAGGGGAGAUUGGAAUUCCUGGUGUAGCGGUGGAAUGCGCAGAUAUCAGGAGGAACACCGAUGGCGAAGGCAGAUCUCUGGGCCGUAACUGACGCUGAGGAGCGAAAGGGUGGGGAGCAAACAGGCUUAGAUACCCUGGUAGUCCACCCCGUAAACGUUGGGAACUAGUUGUGGGGGCCAUUCCACGGUCUCCGUGACGCAGCUAACGCAUUAAGUUCCCCGCCUGGGGAGUACGGCCGCAAGGCUAAAACUCAAAGGAAUUGACGGGGACCCGCACAAGCGGCGGAGCAUGCGGAUUAAUUCGAUGCAACGCGAAGAACCUUACCAAGGCUUGACAUAUACGAGAACGGGCUAGAAAUAGUCAACUCUUUGGACACUCGUAAACAGGUGGUGCAUGGUUGUCGUCAGCUCGUGUCGUGA
Molecule: ribosomal RNA, 1000 nt
Filed under: Microbacterium hatanonis
Lineage: Bacteria; Bacillati; Actinomycetota; Actinomycetes; Micrococcales; Microbacteriaceae
Description: bacterial SSU rRNA
Rfam family: Bacterial small subunit ribosomal RNA
Source: RNAcentral